CCUUCCUUUUCUUUUUUUUUUUUUAAUGGGUUUUUUAAUGGGUUUUUCAACGCAGGCACCUUGUCGACCCGGGGGAGGCCUUCGGGAGGUUGCAAUCGGGCUAAUGAUACGGUGCAGGCCGGACGGAGAAAGGGUGCCAAAAAGAAAGAAAGAAAAAAAGGAAGCCCGCGCCGUUUUCAAAAGCCGUCCUCGGAGGAGUCUGCAGGAAAGAAAGGAAGAAAUCAUUUGCCACUCAACCAGUCGGUUAAAAUCCUGACUCGGAUUAUAUAACCACCAUUAGUUGGGAGCCUGCGACAUCACAGCGCUGUGUCAUCACGCCAACAACACAACACACCCAACUUCAUUGUGACUUCUGCACAACACCUGUUAUUAGCAACACACUUUGGACAGAUGGGAAGGUUCACAUCACCAAUAUCCUGGAUUAUCCCGGGAAUCAACAAUGAGAGUGAAAGGCUGUUUUAAUCUCUACUCACAAGAACUACUUAACGAUCCGUCUCGCUGAAAAACGGUGGUAUAACAUGGUAAAAAAAAAAAAAAUCAACCAACCAGCAGAAACCAGCUUCCCGUUCGAAUGUGGAAUCAUUAAUCCUAAGAAUGAAUUAAAAAUGAAUUGAUGAAAGAUGAGCUGCCCAAGCUGUGAACUUGAAAGUCUUUCCCGUCAUUCUCAGGCUUAAUUGAGGAUGCCCAUUUUACAGGUUGUGACAUUUUAAACCCUAUAAUGGGCUAAACUCCAGCCUUAAAUCUCCCGAAACUAAGGAUUGUAAUCCAUUUGUUUUCAACUCGCAACUGCUUUGUGAUCAGCAGUGUGUCAUGAAAUGGUGGACUGUUGCACACCUGAGAAACGCAGAAGUUGGUUGCUUAAGAAUUCUUCCUGCCGUAAUAUCAAGAUCAAGGGAGGUACUAAUACCACUCUGUAAAGCCUUAGUAAGACCACACCUAGAAUACUGCAUCCAGUUUUGGUCACCAGACUAUAAAAAAAGAUGUUGAGACUAUCAGAUAUAUAUUGAUGGUCGUGCUCAUUUGGUUCUAUGAGGAAGUUAUUUGGUCAAUACAGCUUCAGGUUCAAAAGGUUGCUUUUAUUAUUUACAAAUAUAUACAUGUAUACGAUAAUGAACAGGGUGUCCUGUUACAUUUUUUACCCUAACUACUCAGAUGUUGAGAGGAGAGAGAAGUUCACGUGUUGUCUCGCUGAGAGAUAGAUGAGAGAAAGAGAAAAAAAAGGGAAGAUAUCCAAGUGGUUUCUAGGUAAGAGUCCAAUAAGAGAGUUCAUUGGCUGAUGUAGUCACAUGUGAUGUCUGUAAAGACUUAACCCCUUCUAGUCUCUGGUGCAUCAUAUGCAGGCAAUAUCUGACAGACCCCUUCUAUUGCCAAGUGUGAUGGAACAGUGUUCAAAAAUAAUAAUAAACACAAAUAUAAGAAAAAAUAAAUUAUAAGUACAGUCCAACUGAUUUGCAGUGGUUCCAAUGUAUUUCACAAGAUACAGGUUUAGUUAAGAAAUCGGCAAUUUGGUCCUUGGUAUCGCAAUGAACAAAUUCAA
This is a non-coding RNA of Pantherophis guttatus, 1537 nucleotides long. The record is from RefSeq and is a predicted model, not a curated record. Lineage: Eukaryota; Metazoa; Chordata; Lepidosauria; Squamata; Colubridae.